Molecule: long non-coding RNA, 794 nt
Organism: Myotis davidii
Lineage: Eukaryota; Metazoa; Chordata; Mammalia; Chiroptera; Vespertilionidae
Exons: 2
Source: RefSeq, a predicted model, not a curated record
AAUAGCAUAAAGAGAUUCCUCUCAAAGAAAUGGAAAAAGAACUAGCAGAUUGGCAGCUUUAUGACAUCUGUCUUCACAGUUAGAUGUCCUUCAAAACCAUCACAGUCUCCUGUGUAUACACAAAGAAUAGACACACACAGACACACACACAACCAUCACAGGUCUCCUGUGUAUAUAAUAUACCCAACAAAAGACAACACACAUACACACACACCUGUUUCUCAGAGCCAAAGAAAGUGCUGGCUCUUCCAUGUCCUGUAUGAAGAAGGAGCUUAGAAGCCCAGAGGCUGAUAAAUCAGAACAAUGAGCAGGGCCCGAAAGGAGUGUCUGUGCCAACACAGGAUUUCACCGUCUGUAUUCUGGCUGUGUGGUCAUUGUGUGGAUAAACAUGAUUCUGACCUCAGAUAAUUUACCUUGAGUUCACCCAGACCAAUCUUUUAUUUUACAAAAAAAGAAAAUGUAAGUCCAGAGUUUUGGGAACUUGCCUAAAGUAACAUGAGUUGGAAGGACACCUAGGUGUAGGCAGGCCUCUCUCUGCACCAAGCAAUGUCAAGUCAAGCAUUCUGUAACAGCAGCCAGUGUUAAUGGUCUGAAGCAUGGUACAGAAACAGUAAUAAACUGUAAGAUUUCCCCACAAAUAUUUGGUAAGUGUAAACGACAUUAUCUAGAUUUGCUGUAAACUACAACAGAAAAGGGGAGAGGGAGAGGCUGAGAAUAAGACUGAUCAGUAAAGCUGGUCAUUUCUGAAGCUGGAGAUGGUUACAUGAGUUCAUCAUUUCUUCUCUCUACUUUUU